AUGGCCAAUGAUGAUAUCAAAUAUCAAGAGGAAUAUAUUUCAAAUGCACGCGGAUUGAACCUCUUUACAUGCCAAUGGACCCCUUCAAAUGGCGAACCAAAAGCUCUCAUCUUCCUAUGCCAUGGAUAUGCCAUGGAAUGCAGCAUUUCAAUGAGAGGAACCGGCACACGGCUGGCGAAGGCUGGAUUUGCGGUGCACGGAGUGGACUAUGAAGGCCAUGGAAAGUCUUCAGGACUUCAAGGCUAUAUUAGCAAUCUAAAUGAUGUCGUGUCUGAUUGCUUUACCUACUUUGCUAGUGUUUGUGAGAAAGAGGAGCACAGGAGAAAACGGAAGUUCUUGCUCGGUGAGUCCAUGGGAGGAGCUAUCGCGUUGAUGCUUCAUAGGAAGGAACCUACCUUUUGGGAUGGGGCCAUUUUAGUUGCCCCCAUGUGCAAGAUCGUAGAAGAAAUGAAGCCUAGUCCCAUGGUGAUUACAAUCUUAAGCAAGCUCAGCAAUGUAAUCCCUACAUGGAAGAUUAUUCCUAAUGAAGACAUCAUUGAUAGGGCAAUUAAAAGCCAAGAAUGGCGUGAAGAGGUCAGAAACAAUCCUUAUUGCUAUAAAGGAAGGCCUAGACUAAAGACUGGUUACGAAAUUUUUAUGGCAAGCUUGGAUAUUGAAAGCAAUCUUGAAAAGGUAACCCUGCCAUUCAUUAUAGUCCACGGUGGUGCUGAUGCUGUGACUGACCCAGCAGUAAGCGAGGCACUAUAUACACUAGCUGAGAGUAAAGACAAGACGUUGAAGCUCUACCCAGGGAUGUGCCAUGCUUUGACUUCCGGUGAACCAGAGAACAACAUUGACAUUGUGUUUUCAGAUAUCAUUCAGUGGCUUGAUGAGAGGGCAUUGGUUCAAAAAGAAUCAUAA
Molecule: ribosomal RNA, 900 nt
Filed under: Triticum aestivum (bread wheat)
Lineage: Eukaryota; Viridiplantae; Streptophyta; Magnoliopsida; Poales; Poaceae
Description: partial small subunit ribosomal RNA
Source: RNAcentral